Molecule: ribosomal RNA, 225 nt
Filed under: uncultured marine eukaryote
Lineage: Eukaryota
Description: partial 18S ribosomal RNA
Rfam family: Eukaryotic small subunit ribosomal RNA
Source: RNAcentral
GAAACUUACCAGGUCCAGACAUUGUGAGGAUUGACAGAUUGAGAGCUCUUUCUUGAUCCGAUGGGUGGUGGUGCAUGGCCGUUCUUAGUUGGUGGAGUGAUUUGUCUGGUUAAUUCCGUUAACGAACGAGACCGCAGCCUGCUAAAUAGCGACGCGAACCCUCCGUUCGCUGGAGCUUCUUAGAGGGACAACUUGUCUUCAACAAGUGGAAGUUCGCGGCAAUAA